This 436-nucleotide ribosomal RNA is filed under the name Burkholderia sp. GR1-E5. Its description in RNAcentral is "bacterial SSU rRNA". It matches the Rfam family "Bacterial small subunit ribosomal RNA", at positions 29 to 465 of the family's 1533-position model. The record is from RNAcentral. Lineage: Bacteria; Pseudomonadati; Pseudomonadota; Betaproteobacteria; Burkholderiales; Burkholderiaceae.
UUGAACGCUGGCGGCAUGCCUUACACAUGCAAGUCGGACGGCAGCGCGGGCUUCGGCCUGGCGGCGAGUGGCGAACGGGUGAGUAAUACAUCGGAACGUAUCCUGGAGUGGGGGAUAGCCCGGCGAAAGCCGGAUUAAUACCGCAUACGCUCUGAGGAGGAAAGCGGGGGACCUUCGGGCCUCGCGCUCAAGGGGCGGCCGAUGGCGGAUUAGGUAGUUGGUGGGGUAAAGGCCUACCAAGCCGACGAUCCGUAGCUGGUCUGAGAGGACGACCAGCCACACUGGGACUGAGACACGGCCCAGACUCCUACGGGAGGCAGCAGUGGGGAAUUUUGGACAAUGGGGGCAACCCUGAUCCAGCAAUGCCGCGUGUGUGAAGAAGGCCUUCGGGUUGUAAAGCACUUUUGUCCGGAAAGAAAUCAUCGGGGCUAAUAUC